GAUGAACGCUGGCGGCGUGCCUAAUACAUGCCAGUCGAGCGAACGGACGAGAAGCUUGCUUCUCUGAUGUUAGCGGCGGACGGGUGAGUAACACGUGGAUAACCUACCUAUAAGACUGGGAUAACUUCGGGAAACCGGAGCUAAUACCGGAUAAUAUUUUGAACCGCAUGGUUCAAAAGUGAAAGACGGUCUUGCUGUCACUUAUAGAUGGAUCCGCGCUGCAUUAGCUAGUUGGUAAGGUAACGGCUUACCAAGGCAACGAUGCAUAGCCGACCUGAGAGGGUGAUCGGCCACACUGGAACUGAGACACGGUCCAGACUCCUACGGGAGGCAGCAGUAGGGAAUCUUCCGCAAUGGGCGAAAGCCUGACGGAGCAACGCCGCGUGAGUGAUGAAGGUCUUCGGAUCGUAAAACUCUGUUAUUAGGGAAGAACAUAUGUGUAAGUAACUGUGCACAUCUUGACGGUACCUAAUCGGAAAGCCACGGCUAACUACGUG
RNAcentral lists this ribosomal RNA (497 nucleotides) under uncultured bacterium. RNAcentral describes it as "partial 16S ribosomal RNA". It matches the Rfam family "Bacterial small subunit ribosomal RNA", at positions 28 to 507 of the family's 1533-position model. The record is from RNAcentral.